AGAAACGCCCACGUGCCGGAUGCUGCGUGUGACCAAUCGGAAAAGUAAAAGGGUUUCCCGUUUGCACGGCCAAUCGACUGGGAAAAAACCCAGGGAUUGAACUAACCGGGGAGCAUUCACACCAAUCAGAUGCUGAUGAUGUCAUGUCCUACUGACUUCCAAGGCAAAGAAGCUUAUCAAUCUCAAACUUCAGUGACUCAGUAAACAUGAAUUGCUUAUGGUGAUAUUA
Molecule: long non-coding RNA, 229 nt
Organism: Microcebus murinus (gray mouse lemur)
Lineage: Eukaryota; Metazoa; Chordata; Mammalia; Primates; Cheirogaleidae
Source: RefSeq, a predicted model, not a curated record